CCCCGGAUUCUCAUCCGGGGCUGUCGCAUUCCGUCGCGUUGCGACU
RNAcentral lists this small RNA (46 nucleotides) under Rhodopirellula maiorica SM1. RNAcentral describes it as "Acido-Lenti-1 RNA". It matches the Rfam family "Acido-Lenti-1 RNA". Lineage: Bacteria; Pseudomonadati; Planctomycetota; Planctomycetia; Pirellulales; Pirellulaceae. The record is from Rfam by way of RNAcentral.